Molecule: ribosomal RNA, 461 nt
Filed under: uncultured bacterium
Lineage: Bacteria
Description: bacterial SSU rRNA
Rfam family: Bacterial small subunit ribosomal RNA
Source: RNAcentral
UUGAACGCUGGCGGCAUGCCUUACACAUGCAAGUCGAACGGCAGCACGGGAGCAAUCCUGGUGGCGAGUGGCGAACGGGUGAGUAAUAUAUCGGAACGUGCCCAAUCGUGGGGGAUAACGCAGCGAAAGCUGUGCUAAUACCGCAUACGAUCUACGGAUGAAAGCGGGGGACUCAGCAAUGGGCCUCGCGCGAAUGGAGCGGCCGAUAUCAGAUUAGCUAGUUGGUGGGGUAAAGGCUCACCAAGGCGACGAUCUGUAGCUGGUCUGAGAGGACGACCAGCCACACUGGAACUGAGACACGGUCCAGACUCCUACGGGAGGCAGCAGUGGGGAAUUUUGGACAAUGGGCGCAAGCCUGAUCCAGCAAUGCCGCGUGCAGGAUGAAGGCCUUCGGGUUGUAAACUGCUUUUAAGAGGGAAGAUAAUGACGGUACCUCUUGAAUAAGCACCGGCUAACUCCGU